UAUUGGUCAAUGGUCGGGAGACUGAACCAGCCAAGCCGCGUGAGGGAAGAAGGUACAGCGUAUCGUAAACCUCUUUUGCCGGGGAACAAGAGCUUCCACGAGUGGGAGUGUGAGCGUACCCGGAGAAAAAGCAUCGGCUAACUCCGUGCCAGCAGCCGCGGUAAUACGGAGGAUGCGAGCGUUAUCCGGAUUUAUUGGGUUUAAAGGGUGCGGAGGCGGUCUGUUAAGUCAGCGGUCAAAGCCCGGGGCUCAACCCCGGGCCGCCGUUGAAACUGGCAGUCUCGAGUUGGAGAGAAGUAUGCGGAAUGCGCGGUGUAGCGGUGAAAUGCAUAGAUAUCACGCAGAACUCCGAUUGCGAAGGCAGCAUACCGGCGCCCGACUGACGCUGAGGCACGAAAGCGUGGGUAUCGAACAGG
This 416-nucleotide ribosomal RNA is filed under the name uncultured bacterium. RNAcentral describes it as "bacterial SSU rRNA". It matches the Rfam family "Bacterial small subunit ribosomal RNA", at positions 362 to 776 of the family's 1533-position model. The record is from RNAcentral.